GACAGAGGGUGCAAACGUUGUUCGGAAUUACUGGGCGUAAAGCGUGUGUAGGCGGCUAUGUAAGUCGGAUGUGAAAGCCCUGGGCUCAACCCAGGAAGUGCACUCGAUACUGCGUAGCUUGAGUACCGGAGAGGUUGGUGGAAUUCUCGGUGUAGAGGCGAAAUUCGUAGAUAUCGAGAGGAACACCGGUGGCGAAGGCGGCCAACUGGACGAGUACUGACGCUGAGACACGAAAGCGUGGGGAGCAAACAGG
This 253-nucleotide ribosomal RNA is filed under the name uncultured bacterium. Its description in RNAcentral is "partial 16S ribosomal RNA". It matches the Rfam family "Bacterial small subunit ribosomal RNA", at positions 524 to 776 of the family's 1533-position model. The record is from RNAcentral.